This 497-nucleotide ribosomal RNA is filed under the name uncultured bacterium. RNAcentral's name for it is "partial 16S ribosomal RNA". It matches the Rfam family "Bacterial small subunit ribosomal RNA", at positions 28 to 507 of the family's 1533-position model. The record is from RNAcentral.
GAUGAACGCUGUCGGCGUGCCUAAUACAUGCCAGUCGAGCGAACAGAUGAGGAGCUUGCUCCUCUGACGUUAGCGGCGGACGGGUGAGUAACACGUGGAUAACCUACCUAUAAGACUGGGAUAACUUCGGGAAACCGGAGCUAAUACCGGAUAAUAUAUUGAACCGCAUGGUUCAAUAGUGAAAGACGGUUUUGCUGUCACUUAUAGAUGGAUCCGCGCCGCAUUAGCUAGUUGGUAAGGUAACGGCUUACCAAGGCAACGAUGCGUAGCCGACCUGAGAGGGUGAUCGGCCACACUGGAACUGAGACACGGUCCAGACUCCUACGGGAGGCAGCAGUAGGGAAUCUUCCGCAAUGGGCGAAAGCCUGACGGAGCAACGCCGCGUGAGUGAUGAAGGUCUUCGGAUCGUAAAACUCUGUUAUUAGGGAAGAACAAAUGUGUAAGUAACUAUGCACGUCUUGACGGUACCUAAUCAGAAAGCCACGGCUAACUACGUG